This 212-nucleotide long non-coding RNA is filed under the name Lathyrus oleraceus (garden pea). RNAcentral's name for it is "Pisum sativum (pea) long non-coding RNA (PSAT_LNC001310)". The record is from RNAcentral. Lineage: Eukaryota; Viridiplantae; Streptophyta; Magnoliopsida; Fabales; Fabaceae.
AAUUUGUACCUUUUGAUUAGUAAUUCAGAUAAAAUGAGCAUGCAUAUUUUUGAAGUCAAUCCAUUCGCUUUCACUCUUUCUUAUGCCAUCAUAAAAUAUAAAAUCAACACCUUUUAUUUUCCCUUCUCACCUAUUAACAAACCUAAGAGGAGAAUGAUGUAAAUAAAAAUAACUGAAUUUGUUGACGUAUGCUUUUAAUAGUAAGACAUGGC